Molecule: small nuclear RNA, 103 nt
Organism: Echinops telfairi (small Madagascar hedgehog)
Lineage: Eukaryota; Metazoa; Chordata; Mammalia; Afrosoricida; Tenrecidae
Source: Ensembl
GUGCUUGCUUGGCAGCACAGAUACUAAUAUUAGAAUGAUACAGAGAUUAGCACGGCCUCUGUGCAAGGAUGACACGCAAAUUCGUGAAUGGUUCCAUAUUUUU